This 1169-nucleotide long non-coding RNA is filed under the name Cricetulus griseus (Chinese hamster). RNAcentral describes it as "lncRNA (ENSCGRG00015037473.1)". Lineage: Eukaryota; Metazoa; Chordata; Mammalia; Rodentia; Cricetidae. The record is from RNAcentral.
UGAAUACAGGAAAAAAGAAGGCAGGUCAGAGAGAUGCCAGCAGCUGUCGGAGAAGCAAGAUGUGAGCAGGCGAGGCAGAAUCCAGGGCACAGAGCAUCAAGAGAAAUACAAGCACUUUGGAAACAUGAAUAAGAAGGCAACGAAGAAACCACUUCCAUAGAUGAUGGGUCUGGCUGUUUCUUCUGGGUGCUCAUCUGAAACUCGUCCUGUUACUGGAAUCCGUCGCCCAUAAAGGACGGGAUGAACAGUCCUUCUGGAUGCUCCUGAGCACUUUCCCAACAGUGUCUGGCUCGUUCUGUGCCCACACAGCGUUUUCACCACAUUUGUUCUGUUUCACUUUAUCCACCUUGAUGUGUGAACUCUGGCUCACGACGCAAUCCCUAGCUGCAUAUCUGCUGUAGGCAAAGUCCCUCUGCAGUGUCCCCCACAAGAAGGACAGAGCUAGCUCAAAUAGCAAGGGGAGGUUUCAAGGACAUCAGUGGUUGGAGACAGUGAGAAGCAUGGGGUGUGUCUGCUGAGCAUCAGCUCUAUGUAGUGGCAAAGGAACUAAUUAAUCAUCUUCUCACCAAGCUGAACUCUGAUUUGCUAGUUUCCUCUUCGAGUUUGUUUCGUAGUAUGCUAUCAGCCAAGUUAGUCAAAUAUUGCAGUUCCUUUCUAAAUAUUCCAGCAGCCAGAUGGCAGCAGCAUGUCUACGAGAAGGCACAAUUCACUAGGAGAUAACUUGGUGACAGGCUUGCUGCUGAGGGGACCCACCCAGAAGUGCCUUGGUAGCCCUGCUCAGUGGUCUCUACCACUAAACCUCACAGUCCCAAGAAGACAAACCUUUCAAUGUGCAGUCAGGAACUUGUUGUAAAACAAGAAAAGUUUCUAUGUCUCUAAGCCUGGGACUUAGAACAAACAUAUAAGGUCACUAAAUCACACAUCCGGGACAAAUUUCUUUUCUUAUUUUCUUCUUUUGAGAAAGGGUUUCUCUGUGGCUUUGGAGGCUGUCCUGGAACUAGCUCUACUAGACCAGGCUGGUCUCGAACUCACAGAGAUCUGCCUGUCUCUGCCUCCCGAGUGCUGGGAUUAAAGGCCUGCGCCACCACUGCCCAGCCGGAACAAAUAUCUUAGGACUUUGUUCUUUUUAAAAUGUGAUUGUGUCCUGAAAAUUUAUCACAUGUGCAGGA